CUCUCAAUAUUUUUUGUUCCGUUACUGUGUUUCAUAUCCUUUCUGCCAUCAUUAUCAAGGCCUCGGCUUCGCCCAAUACCCAACUUUGGCAAACCCCGGUUCAGUCCCUCAAGUAGUAGAACACAAGCUUUACACCAUUUUUGGCUUGAAAUGUAACCACAACGUUCACAAGUCCCCUGCUCUGGCAUUUUUGUAUUAGUGGAUAUUCUGAAAUUCUCCCCUGAUUUAAUGAUGUCAAGUAUGGCCCUAGGCCUGAUUCUCUCCAAAUCUUUGAUGAACUCACGAGCAAAACCACGGUAUGCAUUUGGAGAAUAUAUACAUUCUGUGGAGAAGUAAUCCAGCCUUUUGAAAUAAGCAUACAUAACAAUCUCCUUCUCAUAGGUGUACUUGAAAGGCUUGCAUCUUGGAAUUGGACCAUCUUCACCAGUUGUUAUUGAAGUGCAUCUACUCAAUCUAGCAAUAUCUCCUCGCAAUAUAUUCAAAAGAACUGUUUCGGCAAUAUCAUCUGCGUUAUGCCCAGUAGCAACCUUGUCUACUUUCAACAAUGCAGCACCUCGAUCAAGGGCCUGACGACGAAAAACACCACAAAAUGUGCAAUUAUUCUUUA
Molecule: unclassified non-coding RNA, 607 nt
Filed under: Hevea brasiliensis (rubber tree)
Lineage: Eukaryota; Viridiplantae; Streptophyta; Magnoliopsida; Malpighiales; Euphorbiaceae
Source: RNAcentral